ACCUUGAGAGGCUAGAUAUCUUAACAGCUUAAAAAAAGGGAGCUCUACUUGCAGAAAAGUCCCUGGAUGUUUGCAGUCUGACGUGAGGAAAACAAUCAGAUGUGUGAAAUCACAGCAGCAGUGUAGCAGCCAUGAUGCAGGGAAUGAGUGCAUCGCUGACUCAGCAGUAUUUAUUGCCCAUCCAGGUCUGGAGUCACAUGUAGGCCAGACCAGGUAAAAAAACAAACAAAACUGGAGUGCAUAAAUCCAGCAAGAAGAAAUCAUCUGAUACUUGUCAGACCAAACCACCUGAAAAUAUACUAAGAAGAUGGCCUAGACUCUGACUUUUUCUUAUGUUAAAGGUAAGUGUAAGGUAUUGCAUUCCAAAUGCAAUUUGAUUGGUCAAACUACUCGACUGUAAGCAAAACACACCUUGUCUUGAUACUGCAGUUAAAUACUAACAAAAUAAAAAUAAAAGAUUUGACUUAACUGUAACUAUAAAAAUGCUUAACAAAAUGUAUGUAAAGUACUACUGACUAACUGUCCCAAUACACCCUUA
This is a long non-coding RNA of Stegostoma tigrinum, 538 nucleotides long. RefSeq lists it as uncharacterized. The transcript has 3 exons. NCBI's taxonomy places the organism in Eukaryota, Metazoa, Chordata, Chondrichthyes, Orectolobiformes, Stegostomatidae. The record is from RefSeq and is a predicted model, not a curated record.